Molecule: long non-coding RNA, 1935 nt
Organism: Danio rerio (zebrafish)
Lineage: Eukaryota; Metazoa; Chordata; Actinopteri; Cypriniformes; Danionidae
Source: Ensembl
AAUUUGCCACUACGAGUUUGUUCCUUCCAAGUCGCCGUACAAACACAGGAAGUCAAGUCAUAUCUUUGUUGCUACGACAACGUUUGGCCAGUCUCACCAAAAGUAAUGUGCUCACCAGAGUAAAUAUCAGGGUUAACCAAAGUAAAGAAAUCUCCUGAUAAUUGAAAACCAAGUCAUCUGCACGGGGGAUGCAGCGACGUCAUAAUGGCUGUUCCAGUGUGGGAUCUCCCCAUCCCGCUGCCUGCCAUCAUCAUGAUUUCGGUUGGACUCUAUAUGGUUUUUCUUGCAGUCGUGCUGUGGUGUCAUCACUGCCUCAAGGCUAAAUGUGAUCCUCGGUGUUCAGACUGCUGUGUGGGUUUCUCUCCGUGCGAGUACUGUUUAGUGUGUGCACAGUCAUGUGACUGUCGUCCUCCAUCUCUGAGAUCCUGUCUAGACAACUCCUGUCCUUCUCCUAAUUGUACCAUGAUGGAUUGCGCCUGUACUUGUCAACCGCCAGAGUGCGACUCCAUCAACUGCAUCUGCUUCGAGAUCAAGUUUAAAUAGAAAAGUGGAGGGAUGAAGGAAGAUGCCCACCCACUUUACUAUAAAAGAUGCCUUACAAACUCCAUGUGAUACUUGAGCAUGUUUUACGCUAAAACUCUCAUCGUUCUGUAACGUUUGCAUCAUUUGGGAAACAUUACAGCAUCUCCAACAAAUCAGAGCAAUUGAAGAAAUGAAAAAUCUGACAUGAAAAUUUCAAACAUGACUUUCUAUGACUGUUUUUCUUUUGCUAAAGUGUCAUAUGAGAGUUAUUGGACAUAUUUUUGUCAUAAAAAGUGCUGUAAGUACACAAGCAUUACAGAAUUGCAGAGCGCUAAGUUAAGGGUUUUUAUAUAUAGUUGUAGCACUAAGAUAGUGAUUACUUGAAAAAUUUAGUAAAUCCAUUGCCUUAAAGUUGAUUUUACCUGUAAGUAAAAAUGUAAAUAAUUCUGUUGUAACUUAAAGCUGUUAUGUUCACUUAACUUAUUUAAAGAUUUGCAAUGACAAAACAGUGGUAUUGGUGUCUCAUGUCAUCAUAUACAAUAAUACAGCCGUCUAUUUUACUAAGUAAUAUUUUUAAUGCAAUGGAUUUACACCCUUUUUAAAAGUAAAGUCAAUUAAUCUCUUUUAUACUGUGUAUGGCUUUCAGUGCCAUGAACUUUUAAAACAGAUUUUUACUUUUCAGCACAAAGGUUUGUUUACAAAUGUUUUCAUUUAUGUAUUUUAUAUAGUCUUAGUCAGAAAUCAAUAAUUAUUUUUGUCAUAUAUGGAAAAAUUAGAGCAUUUGAAAAUUGGUAUGCUAAUAUUUGUUCGAACAUUUUAUAGGAAUUGAAAUUAAUAAGUCAUUUAGAGCAUUUAUAUUUUGUCAUUUUUUAGCAUUUAUCAGAUUGAAACAUUUUUUUUUUUUUCAUUUUGCCAAAUACAGAUUUAAUUUGUUUUACUCUUCUAUAGCUAAAACUUUAGUAUUGUUUUGUCUGAAAUGGAAUCUGAACAUGUCUGGUGCCUUUCUUGUGAUUUUAUGCCACUAAAUGCUCUAAAUGACUACAUUUUACUUUCAAUUGAACAUGAACCAUCAGUAGUUUACACGCAUUGUUCCACUUUGAUUCACUAAAUAACCCUUGUCAUAACUUGUUUUUGUGGUAUCUAGUGUAAUGAUGAAAGUGUAUAUUAUUGACAGGCCAUCAUUUUGAUUGUUAUAUAUGAAAUAUGAUCUAACAAUAUGUUUAUAAUAAUGUUUUAUGUCAUGUACUGUUAUGGAUGAGGCCAUAUUUUAAUGCCAACAGCCAGUUUACUGUGAUUUACAUAAUCUUUCUGUGUUGCAGUCACCAUAGUCCUUUUUUGUAUGAAUUUUUUUUAUAUAGAAAUAUGUUAUUUUUGUAAAUGUGUAGAUUUAAAAUUAAAGAUUUCCUGCAAAAA